GUUUAUUCUCAGCUUUGAGAACUGAAUUCCAUGGGUUGUAAUUGAAUCCGCUGUCAGACCCAUGGGGCUCAGUUCUACAGCUUGGAUAUUUCUG
Molecule: microRNA precursor, 94 nt
Filed under: Nestor notabilis (Kea)
Lineage: Eukaryota; Metazoa; Chordata; Aves; Psittaciformes; Psittacidae
Also listed under: 1 other name
Description: mir-146 microRNA precursor family
Rfam family: mir-146 microRNA precursor family
Source: Rfam by way of RNAcentral